Eptatretus burgeri (inshore hagfish) is the source of this 6369-nucleotide long non-coding RNA. The record is from Ensembl. NCBI's taxonomy places the organism in Eukaryota, Metazoa, Chordata, Myxini, Myxiniformes, Myxinidae.
UGUACGAGUGUCUGUUCGAGUUAUUAUAACUGUGCUUGUAAUUUGAUCGGAUUUCGUGUGAAUAAAAUGUGUAAAACGUGUUUGUGAGUCACAUUGUUGUGACGUCACAGAGGGACAACGAUCGUCCGUUAUUUCAUUGUGUGCUCCGAGGGUUUUCCCCUCACAGUUCGAGCCCACGAUGGAGUUCACACGUUUCUUCAUGACCUCCUUGCUCGUUAUCAAUUUAAUAUUUUACCAUCAACUGUUCUCUCAACCGAAACAAGGAUAUUAUGAUUACCUUUGGGAAAGGUUCUUUCAACUCCUCCCGAACUCUCUCCGUCCUUCUCAGUACCGUGAUGGUUCCUGGUUCUCGAACCUGCACGAUGCAAUAUUGAGGACAAUCAAUUGCCAAUUUUACAACAAUGGGAACGUCAUAAAUAUCAACAUCAUCAAGGCGUGCAUCAUCUUCACGGCAGUUUGCAUGAUCUUGAACCAUAUCACUCAGAUUUUACUUGCCAUAUCAAGAUGGCGUUCCAGAGAUGCCCCGCCAGACUGCAACUGCAGUGACAUCUUGCGGGAAAUGCAACAAAUCAGUGAAUGUGACAUCAAAGCUCAACCGAUCACCAGUGUAUCGGGUAAAGAUCCAUCCCGAUUUGGCCCGGUUCGAUCGAGAUGCCGUUUCUACCAUCAUCGAUCUACAGAGAGAGAUGUGGAUGUUUACAACAACAUGUAUGCAGCAAGAGGAAGAAAGACUUCCCUGAAGGUUGAACCCGAUAUUGAUCUCCAUCACGUUGAACAGCAAGACAGCACAACAAUGAACCAGGCAAACCACCCUGACUAUCGGUCCAUGAAACACUUUCUGAACCCGAAAAAUGACAAGUAUGCUUUUCUGAAUCCUGAUCACACCUUGGGAAGAAUGGCUGCAUUCCCUGGGAUCAGCACACAUGAGGAACAAGGAUACACCAGGAAAGACAAAGGACAUGUGUGUUCGAGCAGAAUCAGCUCUCGGAACUCUCAAAUGGAUUCCAGCAAAGUCCGGUCGCAGCAUCGGUUUUCCUGCCCCAAUCUAUGUGGUGUACACACCAAGCUUCAUUGGGGAAACCAAACAAAACCAACAUUUAAACUCCAAACACGAUCACUCCAAGAACCAACGACACAAUCUCAGAAAGAUCUCAGAAAGUCACAGGGAAGCAUGGCAUUGAUCACAAUGAUCAUCCAGAAGUGCCUCGGACUUGUAUUUGGUCUACCACUGUUAGUGCAUGAGUCAUACCAUAGAAUCUCUCCAAAACAGGAGAAAUCUUUACCCAAGCUGAUACCACCAGGCCAUGGGUUCCUCAAACGUCGGCCAUCCACAAUCCCCUUUGUGGAUAGAAAGGCUCUGCAGGUGCUGGAGUUGAAUGUACAAGAGAAAAUAAUUCAACAUCAAUGGGGUCUUCCAUGUCUAAUCCAAAGUUCUCUCGACAUUCAGCUUCCUGCACCAAGACUUAUCCGGAAUCGUUCUCAAACAAAGCCCACAGGCAUCGUGAUCGCCAAAACGAGUCCACUUCCUUUCAUUGGUGGCGAAACCAGGGAAAUUUUGGAGUGGCACAUCAAUGAUAAAUUUUCCAAAUUUCCAUGUGUGGUUAGGGAUUUGAGGGAAAGCUUCAAACUACCUGCUUGCCAGAUCACAGAAGACCCCAAUUCAGUCACAUCCAGAAGCUUUGUGGGAACACUUUGCUGUUGGGUGUUUGGCUGGCUGUUGAUGUGGUUUUCCUUAUUUCUCUUCUUUCUCUUUUACUUUGUUUGAGCAAUCGCUUCACCAAUAAACCACACCCUUUCCCUUGUUCUCCAUAUAAAAGCAAUAGAAAACAUCGUGAAUUUAAACCCUGCUCUUGAUGUGUUUGAGAAUGGAGUUUGCUGAACUGACUUGGGACAACUUCAAAUUGCCUCGGAUAAACAGUGUUCCUCCCAACUUCGUGUGCUGAUCAUCACAUUCAAAUUGAUAUUUUGGAAUCGAACAUCAAAUCUAUAGAGGUAAGUUUAAAAAUCCAGUGUCUACAGAAAGUCUACACCCUCUUUCAAAAGUUUCAUCUUUUGUUGCCUUAUAGCCUGGAACUAAAUUGCAUUAAAUCAGACUUUUUCCAUGCUUAUUUACACAUCGCAACCCACAACUUCCAAGUGAAAAAGAAAUCCCACAAAUUUCAGAAAAUUAAUUUUAUAUACAAAACUAGAAUAUUUUGGUUGGAUAAGUGUCACCCCCUGAGUUAUUACUUGGUGGAAGCACCUUUGACAGCAAUCCCAGCUGUGAGUCUGUUGGGAUAGGACUCCACCAGCUUUACACACCUCGAUUGGGCAAUAUUUGCCCAUUGUUCUGUACAAAACUGUUCAAGUUCAGUCAAGUUGCAUGGGGAGCAUUGAUGAACAGCAAUCUUAAUGUCAUGCCACAUAUUUUCGAUUGGAUUUAGGUCGGGGCUCUGACUGGGCCACUCAAGGACAUUUAUCUUUUUGUUCCUUCACCAUUCCAGUGUAGCUUUGGCUGUGUGCUUCGGGUCGUUGCCAAGCUGAAAGGUGAACUUGCGUCCAAAUUUCAGCUUUCUUGCAGGGGGCAGCAGGUUUCCCUCUCGGAUUUUUCUGUAUUUUGCUCCAUCCAUUUUCUCUUCUAUCCUGACAAGUGCUCCAGGCCCUGCUGAUGAGAAACAUCCCCAAAACAUGAUGCUGCCACCACCAUCCUUCACAGUAGGGAUGGUGAUCUUUGGAUGAUGUGCUGUGUUGGGUUUGUGCCAAACAUAAUGCUUUGCAUUUCAGCCAAAAAGUUCCAUCUUGGUUUCAUCAGAGCACAAAACUUUUUGCCACAUGGAUAAAUAAUCUCUGGAGUGUUUGGAAUAAUAUAAUAACCAGGCUUGUGGAGUGCUUGGAAUAUUGUGGUCACAUGCCCACAAUGACCAGUCAUUGCCGUAAUGGCCUGAAGCUCUUUCAAAGUUGACAUUGGCUCUUGGUGGCUUCUCUGAUCAGUCCCCUCCUUACUUGGUCAUUCAGUUUGGAGAGACAGCCUGAUCUUGGCAAGGUCUUGGUGGAACCAUACACCUUCCACUUCUUCAUGAUUGUCUUGACUCCACAAGAAGGGAUAUUCAAGGCUUUUCAAAUAUUCUUAUUCCCAUCCCCUGAUCAGUGCCUUUCCACAAAAUAAUCCCGGAGGUCUUUUGAAGCUCCUUGGUGGCCAUGGUUGAGUCUUUGUUUUCUGAAAUUCACUACCCAGCUGAGGAAACCUACAGGAACAGCUGAUUUUAUUCUGAAAUUAUCAGAAUCACUACAAUUUAACACAGGUGGAGGCCAAUUGACUUUGUGUGUGAUUGUUGAAGGUGAUUGGUUACACCUGAGCUAAUUUACAAUUGCUAUUAUCAGGGGUGUGGAUACUUAUCCAACCAAGAUAUUCUAGUUUUGUAUAUUUAAUUAACUUUCUGAAAUUUGUUUUUCACUUGGAAGUUGUGGGUUGUGAUGUGUAAAUAAAGAUGGAAAAAGUCUGAUUUGAUGUAAUUUAAUUACUUCACAGAGCCUGGUUUGUGCAUGUAAUCUUGUAUUAAACAAAUGAAACUUAUAAACACUUUCCUCUUUUCGUUAACAGGAAAUUGUAUCAUAAAUAAAAGCUAAAGACACCCUUUUUUCCAAAACGAGAGGUGAAAUGAUCAAUUUGCUUGAAGAAGUUUUGAACAACCCGUACCCACAAAACGAGCUCUUCUCUGAUGACCCAGCGUACGAGUGAUACCUUGGAGACUCGCAUAAUUUGGGAAAAAUCAGGAAAAGUUACCGAUCGAUGUCCUCCUUUGUUGGAUGGUGCUUGAUGAGAGGUAAGUUCAAUUGGAUAAAAAUUCAUGAAAUAUUUUGUUUAAUUUAAAAUGAGAUAAGUAAUGUAUUUAUUUGUUAUUUUUAGCAACAUCAACAAAGCUCUGGGAGAAAAGUACAGGAAAAUUCUACCUCUCUCUUCUACUCCCUCAAACUUAAAUGACCUGAAAGAUCAUUGUCAAGACAGAACUGGAAGAAAAGAAAAAGCAAAGGACUUUGUUGACUUGAAAGACUGUAUUCACCUUGUAUUAUUGCACUUUAAUAAAAUAAACAUAUUGAACUGUUGAAAAAAAAAAUCAACUGUGAAAAUGAUUUAUGGGGUUUGGGUGAUGGGUUUUAACGUGACGGUUGGGGUUGGGUUCGAAUGUGAGCUUUGGGAUUUGGUUUGAAUGUUUGGGUGAAGGUUUUAAUUUGAGUUGUUAGGUAUUUGGGUUGGGUUUGAAUGUAAGGGUUAGGGUUGGGGUUAUAAUAACCAAGACCUCAACAGAUUUCUCCUGUGAUAUUAUCCUGAGCUUCACCCUUGAGUGCUCACUGCAAUACUGGAUAUAAAGUGUGAAUCACCAACCUAUUGCCUGUCUGUUCAGGGGACCCUCAUUCUUUGAUGAAAGGAGGAAAACCACGGGGCAACCCUCAUGCAGUGUGCCUCUUUUGGUCCCACAUUAUUCUUAAUCUUCAUCAAUGACUGCACUGACUCUCUGGAAAGUAAUUUUCAUCUCUUUGCUGAUGAUUCCAUUCUCUGCUUUGACAUCCCUCAUCCUUCUGACAGACAGGUAAUAGCCUCUUCCCUCUCCUCAGACAUUGACAAAAAUCGCAAACAAACUGGUGAAAUACUUGGAACAGGUCUUUCAAUCUUGAGAAAUCCGUCUGUGUCUCUGUGUCUCUGUGUGUCUCUCUCUCUCACACAGGACCAUGCUGAAAUCCUCCUCAUUCCUCUUGGAGGUUCAGUCUCUCAAACUCUUGGGUCUCAAUCGAAACCAUGAUCUCUCUCUUUGGCAAGCUACAUUUCAAACUUGGCCUCCAAAGCCAGGCACUGACUCGGCAUCCUCUGUCGUGCAAAGUUUUCUCUCACAAAAAGCACCGACUGGGCAUCCUCCAUCCUUCCUUGAUAAAUCUGAGCUUCUGUCCAUGCACAAGGCUUUCAUCCACAGCUUGAUUGCUCUCCUGCCUCGGCUGGUUACCUUGCCUCUCAUCUUGUUUAGCUUGAUGCUGUGGAAAAAAGGGCUUUCAAGAUCAUUGGAACCCCUCACGAUGAAGCUCACUCUAUGAGACGAUCAUUUCACCAUCGCUAACAGGUGGUCUCAGUUUUCUUCCGCCUUUCUUUUUUUUGCACCCUCUGCCCUCUCCGUGCUUUGUCCACCCCAUCCCCAGGUAACUGCAGGAUGCAUGAAUCCACCAGCAUCCCAGUGAAACUGUCGAAAUCCAGAACCACUACUCACCUACACUCUUUAUUCCUCUUUUUCCCACCUGUUUGGUGUCGUCCACCAAACGGCGGACUCCCUGGGUUAACCUGAGGUGUUCCCUUCGGGUGAGUGCCUGGAAUGUUCUCUCCCGAAGAGGGGAUCAUCAACUGUCUCUGUUAUCAUCUGAGCUCAAGCAUUUGCAGAUCGGUAUAGCAGCACUCUCUGAGGUUCGGAGACCGGAUUGCGGCGAGAUCAUUGUAGGUGGUUAUACCUACGAUUGGUCUGGUCGCUCUGAUGGUUACCAUGCCCAAGGAGUUGCUGUAGCUGUGUCGAAUAAGCUGACCCCAAUGAUAAUUGAGGUAACACCGGUCAACGAGCGUAUUAUGAGAUGAAGGAUUCAUCACUCCUUGGGUGUAAUUUCCCUGGUCUCUGAAUAUACUCCGACUGAGGCGAGUGAUCUCACCGUGAAGAAAGCAUUCCAUGCCACGCUCGAGUCUGUGGUUGAUCAGUGCCCCAGGCGAGAUACUCUUCCAGUCUCGGGGGAUUUCAAUGCAUCGACUGGAACUGAUAGGGAUGGUUAUGAGACAUGUGUUGGUCCCCAUGGGUCUGUAACUGUGAUCCAGAAUAGCACUAAGUUCCUUGACUUUGCAAGAAGUCAUGGACUUAGAGUGGCUGGUUCAUGGUUUCAGUGUCCACAGGCUCAUCGCUGGACUUCGUAUUCCAAUGCUGACAGUGUGGCAAAGGAGAUUGACCAUGUGCUCAUUUGUGGUCGAUGGAGGAUCAUCCAGAAGUGCAGUGCCUACCUGAGUGCUCAGUUCCUCAACACUGACAACAGGUUUGUUGGAGCAACUUUGAAGUUGCAGCUUAAAUCCCGGAGAAUGGUACCAUCCCAACCUCAGCGGAUGUUGGCAAGCUCAAGGAUGAGGGCAGCUGAGGAGUUUGCAAACAGCCUGGGUGGAGAUUUGGGGUGUCUGCGUGCUUUGGGGGAUCCUGAAGAGUUGUGGAGUGCCUUCAAGACCACCGUCCUUGAUGUUGCCAGUCGUUGUCUUGGAACUCGCUCUAGGGCGAAGAAGAAUUUGGUCUAUCAAGGGAUGCUGGAUACCCUUGACCAGAGUCGCAGGGCCAGGCUGAAUGGCAGAGCUGAGCUGUUCAGGGAACUGAGGCAUAAAAC